GUAGUCCAUGCCGUAAACGUUGGGCACUAGGUGUGGGGGACAUUCCACGUUUUCCGCGCCGUAGCUAACGCAAUAAGUGCCCCGCCUGGGGAGUACGGCCGCAAGGCUAAAACUCAAAGGAAUUGACGGGGGCCCGCACAAGCGGCGGAGCAUGCGGAUUAAUUCGAUGCAACGCGAAGAACCUUACCAAGGCUUGACAUGAACCGGAAAUACCUGGAAACAGGUGCCCCGCUUGCGGUCGGUUUACAGGUGGUGCAUGGUUGUCGUCAGCUCGUGUCGUGAGAUGUUGGGUUAAGUCCCGCAACGAGCGCAACCCUCGUUCUAUGUUGCCAGCGCGUGAUGGCGGGGACUCAUAGGAGACUGCCGGGGUCAACUCGGAGGAAGGUGGGGACGACGUCAAAUCAUCAUGCCCCUUAUGUCUUGGGCUUCACGCAUGCUACAAUGGCCGGUACAAAGGGUUGCGAUACUGUGAGGUGGAGCUAAUCCCAAAAAGCCGGUCUCAGUUCGGAUUGGGGUCUGCAACUCGACCCCAUGAAGUCGGAGUCGCUAGUAAUCGCAGAUCAGCAACGCUGCGGUGAAUA
Molecule: ribosomal RNA, 581 nt
Filed under: uncultured Arthrobacter sp.
Lineage: Bacteria; Bacillati; Actinomycetota; Actinomycetes; Micrococcales; Micrococcaceae
Description: bacterial SSU rRNA
Rfam family: Bacterial small subunit ribosomal RNA
Source: RNAcentral